CCCUUAGUAACGGCGAGCGAACAGGGAAAAGCCCAGCGCCGAAUUCUCGCUCCUUGCGGGCGUUUGAAAAAUGUGGCGUUUGGGAGGUGACGUGCCGAGGUCAGUCUCUGCAGCAAGUCCCCCUGACCGGGGCUGUUACCCAGAGUGGGUGCGAGGCCCAUAGCUGCGGAGUCUGCUUCGGAUGUGACCUCUUGGGAGUCGGGUUGCUUGGGAGUGCAACCCCAAUCUGGUGGUAAACUCCACCUAAGGCUAAAUACGUCCGUGAGACCGAUAGCAAACAAGUACCGUGAGGGAAAGUUGCAAAGAACUUUGAAGAGAGAGUUCAAGAGUACGUGAAACUGCUCAGAGGCAAACAUGUGGGCCCUCGAAAUCCUCCGGCGGGGGGAUUCAGUCGGGAAGGGCUGAGGCGGUGUGCGAUUUCAAUGAACGUACCCUUCUCGGGGACGGGUCGCUGCCGCGGUCUCGGUUCUGCCCGACGCAUUUCCUCCCGCGCAAGGACGCCGCAUCCGGUUGGGUAGCUGCGCGAGUCGGCCAUGAGGGCGAGCGCUGGAAGUUGGCCGGCGGCUGUGCUUCGGUACCGCUGCCGGUUGUUAGCCGGUUCGUCUGUGGCUCGACACCCGACUGAGGUCGAAUACGUUCCCUYUUYUGGGAACUAGCCGUCCCCUUUCCACUCGUUGGAGAGCAGCAGCCUCGGAAGGUGCUUCUCAGAGUCUUUGCCUCCCCACUCUUUGUAGUGAGCGGCGCUYUGAGUAUCCUGGUGGCUGAGUGCUGUCUGCGGUAGGGGUUUAAUGGCUGGCGGCGAGCGAGUCGGUCACCCACAUGGCCCGUCUUGAAACRCGGACCAAGGAGUCUAACAUGUGCGCGAGUCACGGGGUCUUGUUUAGGCCCAAAGGCGCAAUGAAAGUGAAGGUUCGGCCUCGCGCCGACCGUGCUGGGAUCCCUCGUCCUAUUUGCGGCGGGGGAGCACCAGCGAUCCGUCCUGUCCGAUUUAUCGGUUGGCUGGAAUCAGAGCGCGCACGUUGGGACCCGAAAGAUGGUGAACUAUGCCUGGGCAGGACGAAGCCA
RNAcentral lists this ribosomal RNA (1065 nucleotides) under Camptoscaphiella simoni. Its description in RNAcentral is "partial 28S ribosomal RNA". The record is from RNAcentral. Lineage: Eukaryota; Metazoa; Arthropoda; Arachnida; Araneae; Oonopidae.